CAAGGGUGAGUACACAAUUUAUUGUUUUGAUAUAAAUACAUCCAUUUUAAAUAUACAUGAAGUUUGAAUAUACAGCAGUUAACUUAUUUUUACACUUGUAUGACAAAAAGCAAGAUCGAUUAGGUCGACCCUGCAGCAAUACUUCUACUUGCGUUAACUAACGCUGUGCUUCGUCACACGGUGAGUUGCUUGACUUUACUUUGGUUGUAUGUAGUUGCAUUUUGAAGUUCUUUGCUUAUUUUUGCAUUUGUAUGAAAGGUCGAAGUUACAAAGUAGCAAUGCCUGAAUUCGACUACAGUAGCCCCUCGGCAAGCUUCCCCUUUUCCUCUUACUUAUACCUACGCCAUGCAUUUGUCACACAGUGAGUAGUUUUCUUUUACAUAGUUGUAUUAUACAUUGGUUAGCUUAUUUUUACACUUGUGUGACAGUUCUAAACGCUAAAAAGCACGAUGCAUGAAAGUCAACUAGCCUCUCGGCAAGCUUCCCUUUUCCACUUCCUUUAACCUGGCACUAUGCCUUUGUCGCUUGGUGAAUCAUUUUAUUUUAUUUUAGUUUGCCGUAGUUGUUAGCUUCUUUUUAUACUUUUAUGACAGAGUUUUAUGAUGGCCACAGUUUGACACUGGAUCAGAUUAUUGCCUACAGAAUCAAAUUAGUUUAAAAUGUUUGGAGCCAAUCAGAGGAUGAGCGGUGUUCAAAAGUCAGUGAAGUCCCACGGGCUGCCCCUAGUGACCUUCGAGCCUCUACACCCUGGCCCCUCAAAAAGCAGCCAUGUCACCCCACCUGUUUGAUGCUCCGUGCGGCCCAAAAGAUGCUCCACAGGCGUCUCUGCCACCUGUAUGCACGUAAAUUAAUGAGUGCUGCAACACAGCUACUUGCCCUAACCCCUUCUGAGCUGUGCUUCUUAGUUUUACUGACGUGAAACACAUGAAGGACACUCGCACAGUCUCAUGUGAUCCAAUGUAAGAGCUGUAUCAAAAAAUAUCUAUGUGUUAAUGUAUGUACUUCAGCAAAUGCCUGUGAUAGUUACCUGUAGUACCUGCAGCUUGCUGUUCCGAAGCCCGCCGCUUGCUGUCCCCGUCCAUGUAGGAGCUCAGUGCCCUAGAGAAGUGCUCGUCCACCACGGUGCUGAUGUCCCCCUGGUAGUAGGUGAAGAGGACGCAGCGGGAGGUCAGGUACUCAGCCUCGGGGCCCUCCUGCUUGUCCUUGGGACCCUCAUCUGGCCGCGGAGCUGCCGACGUGUAGGAGGACGAAGAUGAGGAGGAGGAGGAGGAGGAGGAAGCCGACGAAGAGGAUGAGUUUGUGGAUCCGCCGACAGUGCCCUGGCCCCCCGACAUCCCCUCUGGACCCCUGGGAGUGUCCAUAAAGUCCCGACACGGAGAUGCAGACUUCAUAGCGAUUGCAAGUGGACCAAAGUGAAGCUCAAGUUCAACCCAUUCAAAGGGAAGGAGCCCAACAUCCGGCUGAAAUAAAAGAUAGUGUGCAGGAGUAGGGGGUACAUGGCUUGAAGUCAAAUGUCUGAAGGGAUUUUGGUACUACUGCUACUACUACUACUACUACUAACUACAACUAACUAACUAGGCUGUGGUGGAGCAGAGGAGUGAAGCAGUCAGAAUGGACGCUGCAGAAGGAGCGCACUUAUGCCGCACAAGUGUGUGCGCGCGCGCGCGUGUGUGAGCGCCACAACAGCUGCGGCAGUGAGAUGUGGAGGGUAAGUAGGACUGCCCUGUACAUCUUUAGUGUUGACUCCUCCCACUUUUUCCCCCCACAUUUGCUUGCAUGUGCAUUUCAUGUUAAAAUUGCGAUCCAUGAUUGGUUGUUACAGUAUAUAAGAAUAUGUGACAAUGGGCUUCCGAUACAAUGCAAUUCAAAUGAGUUCACUUGCUGACCUGGUGCUGUAAAGGACACAUGGAUGCAUUAGCAACAAAAUGACUUAAUGUACUGUAUUUAUAAAGUAUAU
This is a long non-coding RNA of Dunckerocampus dactyliophorus (ringed pipefish), 1957 nucleotides long. RefSeq lists it as uncharacterized. NCBI's taxonomy places the organism in Eukaryota, Metazoa, Chordata, Actinopteri, Syngnathiformes, Syngnathidae. The record is from RefSeq and is a predicted model, not a curated record. The transcript is spliced from 4 exons.